Molecule: long non-coding RNA, 1973 nt
Organism: Canis lupus familiaris (dog)
Lineage: Eukaryota; Metazoa; Chordata; Mammalia; Carnivora; Canidae
Exons: 5
Source: RefSeq, a predicted model, not a curated record
AUAGUACUUGUAAAUUUGGCCACCAAAUAUAACAGAUUCACAAAACCAAAAUAUGACAUUUGGACACAUUAGCCAUUCUUAGGUAAAUCCAAAAACCACUGUCUUAUCGUGUUCCUAUUUUGUCUUAACCACUCGAUAUUGUUCUUCACUGUUUCCAGCACUUGUUCCCUGGGUUUUUCUCCUGCUCCAGCAUCUGGAUAUCUUUUGAAAAAGCUCUCCAUCUAGAAAAGAGAGGGAAAUAAUUAAGAAAGUCAUUUUAAGCCCCAUUAGUUUUCAAGGCUUUUAUUUACAGGCUGGAUUUGUUUCCUUCUUCCCUGGAAAUUCACUAUCAUUGCACAUGUCUUGGUGCAUCAUUUGGACUGAGCCUGUCUCUUCGAUUGGCAAUCAUUACCCAUGGCUUUUGGACUGUUGGCAGCACGUCAGGUCAAAAGAGGCUCUCCCAUCCUGGGGAAGGAGAGCAGCACAUCGGUGGCUGGUGUGCCCCUCUGUGAUUCUGCUGCUUCUCUACUUUGUGCGUUCCCCGGGGUGUUCCCUGGAAAACCCAGUCUGUCAAAUGCUGGCUUGGCUUAUCUUUCACUUCAGGAGUCCAGAACAUUUUAAUAUACUUUCAGUUCCCUUAUUAAGGACUCACAAUAACCUCUCUGUUACCUUGGUUCUAUCAUUUGUCUUCCUUCCAAAAUCCUCCCCCAAUCAUAGUAUUGUUUGCUACUUACACAAAUAAAAGUUUUUUUUGGUUCUUAACACACAGAAUGUUAACAUUCCAAUAUAUAAUAUACAGAUAUUGAAAAUUCAUACAAUCUCAAUUUUCCAACAUCCAUAAACAUUUUCCCCUCUGGGAACUGAGAUAUUUGAAACUGAAAAGUCUUUAAAUUCCAAAACAGUGAAUUUUGGAAGGAAUCAAAUCUUGACCAUCCUAUUUCAGGUCACAUUUACUAUCCAUGCUUUGGUAAAGUCAAAAGGUCUCAUGUAGCCUUCUAAGCCUCUCAAGGCCUCAGCUUUCUCAACUUUUACACUUUGUUUCUUAGUUAAUUGAAUUUUUUCAGUUUAGAAAAAAAUAGGUAUACAUUUAAUUUGAUAUAAGAAUUAUUUCUUUCUCCUUGUCUGAGAACUAAAUAGAGAAAAUGCCAUUUCUAUUUAAAAAAAGAAAAAAAAAUUGUAAUCCUGUUCUUCCUAGAUGAGUAUAGAGGAAUUUAACUUCAUACCUGCCACAGCUGUAGUUCAGUGUUGAAUGGUUCUGCUAUUGUGACAAUCCUGCCAAGAUUUCUGUCAUUGAUUGUGUAUCUGAAGAAAAAUUUAAGGAAGUAAAAGGGAAUAUAAGUGCCUAGAACUUUAAAUCUUGGAUUUUGUGGAUUUUUAAUAAAAGUCAUUUUCAAAGUAAGCAAAACACAAGCAAGAAUCAGAAAUUUCCUUACAGACCGUAAUACAAAAAAUUGUGAUACAGAUAAACAUCUCAUCGCAAUCAAUCACUGUGUGAGAAAAACCACAAGAAUUAUGUAUUAACUUUGAAUCAGUGGAAUACUGGUGAAGAAUAAAAGAAAAUGUAUCGCUAUACAGACAGAGCGCCCCCCAUCUGAAAGUGGAGCAUUCCUGUGAAACCUUUCAUAACCUGAAAUGGCAUAAAGAGAGGACUCUCAUUUUCUAAAAGUCUGUAAUAAUUCCACUGUGUUUUCACAAAAGACCUACAUUAGUACCUGCUUUUGCUAAUGGAAAGAAAUCCAAAGAGCAUCUUCAUUUUUAUGGAAAAACCCAUUACCAUACUAAGACACUAGAUGACCCCAUCACACAUGAGUGAUAGAGACAAUAUCCAAAGAUAGAACAGGCAUAGAGAGAUAAAACAAUAUUAUCACUACUGUCCCAAGAAGUCUGAAUGAGGAUUGAGACCAGUUUGGAAUGCUGCCUUCAUUUUUGUUCUUUUGAUGAGUUCACUGCUCAGCACUACCACUGGAGGGCAGGCAGAGGAAGGGAGAAGAAAU